Long non-coding RNA from Oxyura jamaicensis (ruddy duck), 2051 nucleotides. RefSeq lists it as uncharacterized. The record is from RefSeq and is a predicted model, not a curated record. The transcript is spliced from 2 exons. Lineage: Eukaryota; Metazoa; Chordata; Aves; Anseriformes; Anatidae.
UAGUAGCCUUUCUUUAAAUUCAGUUUAGAAAUAGAUGGCUUUUGUAUUUCACUGCUGUGCUUUGCUGCACCCCAUAGGAACCUUGGUGGACAAAAUGGUUCUUGGGUGGGUGCUGGAAACAAACAGCAUGUUUUUUUGUGUAAAUAAUUGAAGACAGAAGCAAGCUGGUUUAAACAAUGUGUUUAUAUUGCAAGUGUGUCGCAGUGGAGCCUAGCUAACACCCCGACCAAUUAUACUUCCAAAUUUUGCCCUUUGGGGACAGGAAAAGGCUGUCAAGUGCUGGACUGUCUGCAAAUCAUAGAAGUCUUUGAGUUCUUUUCAUUGUUAAAAGGGUCACUUACUGUGAGCAAACAACUCAUAAAUCAAUGGUAGUUGACACUCAAGUUCUGGCAGGAGGUUUCGGAGCUGUGUAAUGGCAUUUGGGAGAUGGAUCCACAGCUCCCUGUGCCCCGCGUCUGUGGGCCAGGGGAAGCGAACUGAAAUGGCAGCUCUUCAUGACAGCCCUUUUCUGCAAGUGCCAGAUGAGGUGUGUAGUUCAGAUACAACGCAUGUCUUUCUCACAUGUGUGCUUUUCCUUUUGGUCAAGAAAAAUCCUUCUCUCUCUUUCUGCUUUAAGGAACACCAGAAUUAGACCAGAAGGAAUAACCACAACUGCUCGUAAUUUACCAAGGACUGCGGAGGGAAAAGAUGGGCAGCCGGUUCUUACUGGGCAGAGCCUUGGCCAUGGAUUAUCUUACAAAAGAAGUGUGGACUGCCACGGGGAGUUGUUCAAAACAAGCAGUACCUUAUCCGCCAGCUCGUCGGAGCCCCUCUCAGGGUGGUGCAGGGCAUCAGAGCGGCUGUGAGGAAGGAGCAGGGCCGCGGGGAAGGGGAGGUGGUCCCACCGGCCCCGUGCGCCUCGCGACUCGCAGCUGAGCUUGAUCUAGGAAAAAUGCUUUCCCCCAGAGGGUGUAAGGCAGCAUGUUACACUAACCAACUGCCACGACAGAAACUGGCUAUGUAAUGAUGCUUCUUGCCCUGUCCCCGCUUGGCUGAUGGCAGUAUGCUUUGCCUUUCAUCCACCUCUGCUUAGGGAAAGAGCCCUAGGGGUGAGCAGGGCAUGCCUGCCUGUUCCUCCUGGGGCUGAGGUAAAAAGCACAGAGCCUUGCGCACUCACGCAGGAGCUGCCUGAAGUGCUGCCAGCGAGUGCCACAGCCAAAAAAACCUGGACACGGGUGGUGCUGCCUGCCCAAGCACUUCUCAGAGGGACGUGUCACGGGUGCUUAGUCAACAGCAGCGUCAGAGGGCAAGGUGCAGCACUUCCCUCCUGGUCACGGAGCUCCUAACAGUGGAUGCACUGAAAGGUUUGUGUGCUGCACAGCCUGCUGCCCUGAGGAAAAUGAACACGCUCUCCUGCAUCCAGUAUUAGGCCGCAUUGUAUGAACAGACUGUGGUGAUUCUCUCUGGAGAAGGGAAGGAGAAGUCUUGAGCUCAACCCUCAGUGCCCUUCACAGCUUAGGUAGCAGGGCUCAUCAGGACAGCAGCUUCCCACACACAAUGCUGCAGUUAUCUGAUGGUAUAUCAGUAUUUUUUCUACCCCAUUCCCUUUUUUCCAGUUUCCUAAAGGAGUGGCAUUGGUCCUUUUAGCAGCUGCCAUGUCAGAAGCAUCCAGGAGGAGACUGCAGGAAGCUGGCGGUUUCUGGGAAAAAUGAAGCAAAGCUGUGGGGAGCUGCUGGCUGAGUCAGUGGCUUUCUAACAUCUUUCCCUACCAGCGCUGCCCACUCCUGCCGAGCUGGACCAGCCUCCUGGCAGCAAAGGCCCCGUCCGAGCUGCUCGCAUCCCAGGCAGAGUCAGCAUGCUGACCUCUCCGGUUUGUGAGGACCAGUGCUCAACGUGUGCACCUAGCCUUGCAGUGCCUCUCUAGCCCUCUUCCUCUCCUCCACCACCUCUCAGUUGUUGACUGACAGGUUUCACAAGUAACAUGGUAAUAUUUUAAAAAUGCCUUUGAAAAAAUGAAAAUAAUUGAUGUGAUCUGUGUAGAGUGAGAUUGCUGGUGGGGAACAGCUGUGGCA